This 775-nucleotide ribosomal RNA is filed under the name uncultured Neocallimastigales. RNAcentral's name for it is "partial large subunit ribosomal RNA". It matches the Rfam family "Eukaryotic large subunit ribosomal RNA", at positions 23 to 647 of the family's 3401-position model. Lineage: Eukaryota; Fungi; Neocallimastigomycota; Neocallimastigomycetes; Neocallimastigales. The record is from RNAcentral.
AGAGAGAGACAUGCGCGCAUAUCAAUAAGCGGAGGAAAAGGAAACUAACAAGGAUUCCCCUAGUAACGGCGAGUGAAGCGGGAAGAGCUCAAAUUUGAAAUCUUAAAGGGUUUCCCUUUACGAAUUGUAGUUUAAAGAAGUGUUUUCUGUUGAGGUUUUGGUAAAAGUUCUUUGGAAUAGGACAUCAUAGAGGGUGAGAAUCCCGUAUUUGACCUUUACUUUCAACUUUGUGAUACACUUUCAAAGAGUCGGAUUGUUUGGGAAUGCAGUCCAAAAUGGGUGGUAAAUUUCAUCUAAAGCUAAAUAUUGGCGAGAGACCGAUAGCGAACAAGUACCGUGAGGGAAAGAUGAAAAGAACUUUGAAAAGAGAGUUAAACAGUACGUGAAAUUGUCAAAAGGGAAGCGUUUGACACCAGUGUUGUUUUUCUGAAAAUCAAUUAAAGAACUGUUUAUGCUAAGUUGUUUAGACUUUAUCAGCUAUCUGUUUAGUUUUGAGCUUUUCUUUAAUGCACUUUUCAGUUAACAAGUCAACAUCAAUUUCCUUUGCUGUAAAAAAGCUUGAGGAAGGUGGCUUGAGAUUCGUCUUAAGUGUUUAUAGCCUCUUGCCUAUGCAGUCGGAGAGAUUGAGGUCUGCAGCGUAGAUCCUUCGGGGCUAAAUGCAUUUGUGCUAAGUUAUAGCAUUUUAUAGACAACUUGUUGACUAUGAUUUGUCUUGUAGCUUACUCGCUUAUGUUAUUUUACCUACGCUUAGGAUGUUGACGCAUGAGAUAUACGC